CCCUUAGAUGUUCUGGGCCGCACGCGCGCUACACUGAUGCAUUCAACGAGUCCAACCUUGACCGAGAGGUCCGGGUAAUCUUUGAAACUGCAUCGUGAUGGGGCUAGAUUAUUGCAAUUAUUAAUCUUCAACGAGGAAUGCCUAGUAAGCGUGAUUCAUCAAAUCGCGUUGAUUACGUCCCUGCCCUUUGUACACACCGCCCGUCGCUCCUACCGAUUGAGUGUGUUGGUGAGGAGUUUGGAUUGGCCUCGGAAGGUGGUCCGCCACCGUCCGUAGCUGAGAAGUUCUCCAAACCGCCCCACUUAGAGGAAGGAGAAGUCGUAACA
RNAcentral lists this ribosomal RNA (326 nucleotides) under uncultured eukaryote. Its description in RNAcentral is "partial 18S ribosomal RNA". It matches the Rfam family "Eukaryotic small subunit ribosomal RNA", at positions 1470 to 1796 of the family's 1831-position model. The record is from RNAcentral.